Molecule: transfer RNA, 94 nt
Filed under: Sphaerisporangium rufum
Lineage: Bacteria; Bacillati; Actinomycetota; Actinomycetes; Streptosporangiales; Streptosporangiaceae
Description: tRNA-Met
Source: RNAcentral
CCCCGGGUGGCCGAGGAUCUCGGCGGGCCGGCCGGUCAUCCCGGCCGCCUCGGCGAACCACGGCGCCGGCCCGGGCUCGGGCUCGGCCCCCGGC